AAAGCUCCGGCGGUUAGAGAUGGGCAUGCGUGCCAUUAGCUAGUUGGUGAGGUAACAGCUCACCAAGGCUACGAUGGCUAGGGGGUCUGAGAGGAUGAUCCCCCACACUGGUACUGAGACACGGACCAGACUCCUACGGGAGGCGGCAGUGAGGAAUAUUGGGCAAUGGACGCAAGUCUGACCCAGCCAUGCCGCGUAAAGGAUGAAUGUCCUAUGGAUUGUAAACUUCUUUUAUGCAGGAAAAAUAUCCCGGUCGUGAACCGGGACUGAUGGUACUGUAUGAAUAAGCAUCGGCUAACUCCGUGCCAGCAGCCGCGGUAAUACGGAGGAUGCAAGCGUUAUCCGGAUUCAUUGGGUUUAAGGGGUGCGCAGGCGGAAUGAUAAGUCAGUGGUGAAAUCUCUCGGCUCAACCGGGAAACUGCCAUUGAUACUGCCAUUCUUGAGUACAGUUGAAGUGGGCAGAAUGUGUCAUGUAGCGGUGAAAUGCUUAGAUAUGACACAGAACACCGAUAGCGAAGGCAGCUCACUAAGCUGUAACUGACGCUCAUGCACGAAAGCGUGGGGAUCAAACAGGAUUAGAUACCCUGGUAGUCCACGCUGUAAACGAUGAUCACUCGUUGUUAGCGAUAUACUGUUAGCGACUGAGCGAAAGCAUUAAGUGAUCCACCUGGGGAGUACCGGCGGCAACG
RNAcentral lists this ribosomal RNA (689 nucleotides) under uncultured bacterium. RNAcentral describes it as "bacterial SSU rRNA". It matches the Rfam family "Bacterial small subunit ribosomal RNA", at positions 202 to 893 of the family's 1533-position model. The record is from RNAcentral.